This 235-nucleotide unclassified non-coding RNA is filed under the name plant metagenome. RNAcentral's name for it is "partial contains small subunit ribosomal RNA, internal transcribed spacer 1, and 5.8S ribosomal RNA". The record is from RNAcentral.
UUUCCGUAGGUGAACCUGCCGAAGGAUCAUUAAAGUUAUAGUCCCCCGGCCCCUCCGGGCUGGGGUCUUCUAUACCACCCUUUGUUUAUUACACCUUCGUUGCUUUGGCAGGCCUGCCCUCGGGCUGCUGGCUCCGGCCGGCUCGUGCCUGCCAGAGGACCUAAACUCUGUUUGUAUAUGAAGUCUGAGUACUAUAUAAUAGUUAAAACUUUCAACAACGGAUCUCUUGGUUCUG